This 608-nucleotide ribosomal RNA is filed under the name Chitinophagaceae bacterium. RNAcentral's name for it is "partial 23S ribosomal RNA". It matches the Rfam family "Bacterial large subunit ribosomal RNA", at positions 1 to 599 of the family's 2925-position model. The record is from RNAcentral. Lineage: Bacteria; Pseudomonadati; Bacteroidota; Chitinophagia; Chitinophagales; Chitinophagaceae.
GUAAGGUCAAGUGAAGAAGGGCGUAGGGUGGAUGCCUAGGCAGUCAGAGGCGAUGAAGGACGUGGACAGCUGCGAUAAGCUCCGGGGAGCCGCUAACAGGCAAUAAUCCGGAGAUUUCCGAAUGGGGAAACCCUCAGAGCGUAAGCUCUAAACCGCGCGUGAAUACAUAGCGCUCGGUGGCCAACUCGGGGAACUGAAACAUCUAAGUACCCGAAGGAAAAGAAAGAAACCUCGAUUCCCAUAGUAGCGGCGAGCGAAGUGGGAUCAGCCUAAACCUUAGGACGUAAGUCUUAAGGGGUCGUGGGGCUCGCGAUAUCGCCAAGAAUGGUUAGUUGAACGGCAUGGAAAGGCCGGCCAGAGACGGUGACAGCCCGGUAGACGAAAGCGAUUCGACGCGUAGCGAGUACCCGAGUACCGCAAGACACGAGCAAUCUGGCGGGAAUCUGCGGGGACCAUCCCGUAAGGCUAAAUACUCCUGACUGACCGAUAGUGAACAAGUACCGCGAGGGAAAGGUGAAAAGCACCCCGGUAAGGGGAGUGAAAGAGUACCUGAAACCGUACGCCUACAAGCAGUGGGAGCACUAUGCCCGCAAGGGAAUGUGUGACCG